This 449-nucleotide ribosomal RNA is filed under the name uncultured bacterium. RNAcentral's name for it is "partial 16S ribosomal RNA". It matches the Rfam family "Bacterial small subunit ribosomal RNA", at positions 354 to 796 of the family's 1533-position model. The record is from RNAcentral.
GUGGGGAAUAUUGGACAAUGGGCGAAAGCCUGAUCCAGCCAUGCCGCGUGUGUGAAGAAGGUCUUCGGAUUGUAAAGCACUUUAAGUUGGGAGGAAGGGCAUUAACCUAAUACGUUAGUGUUUUGACGUUACCGACAGAAUAAGCACCGGCUAACUUCGUGCCAGCAGCCGCGGUAAUACGAAGGGUGCAAGCGUUAAUCGGAAUUACUGGGCGUAAAGCGCGCGUAGGUGGUUUUGUAAGUUGGAGGUGAAAUCCCCGGGCUCAACCUGGGAACUGCCUCCAAAACUGCAUGACUAGAGUACGGUAGAGGGUAGUGGAAUUUCCUGUGUAGCGGUGAAAUGCGUAGAUAUAGGAAGGAACACCAGUGGCGAAGGCGACUACCUGGACUGAUACUGACACUGAGGUGCGAAAGCGUGGGGAGCAAACAGGAUUAAAACCCCUGUAGUCC